GUGCGUGAGGAAGGCGCGGUGGUGUGUGUAGAGGCUUCAGGUUUGGAGGUGCAUGAUCCGAAGUUGCAGGGCCCGACCUAGGUUUUAGCGGGCCUGCGGUGGGGGUCCUUGCUGUGUGCCUCGACUGCGGAAGGGGUUCAGGAUUAUGGCAUGACCAGAAUAAGUUCAUGAAGUAUGCUCAAGCUUUUCUGCUGCUUUGCAAGGUCUAUGCCGAAAUUUCUUCCGCGACUGGAAGCAGACAGAAUUAUUGCCAGCUGAGAUGCAUCUUAAAAGCUCCUUAAAACAGAAUUUCAGAGUUGAUAUUGUUAUCAAUUGACCGGUCAAGUUCACCAGUUCCCAAUUGCGGAAGGUACCCACAGAUUCGGACUUCACUGCUGGAUUCAAGUACAAGGAGGAAAACCUACUCCGUAUCCAAUCCUAACUGACCUAGGGCAACCCCAACUGACCGAGGACACUUACAUAUACCCCUCUUACGCCUUAGGACUCUAAACCCAUGAAACCAUAUCUCCCUGAGUUGUCCAAAGUCACCACCAAAGUUGAUCUCACGAGUUUCCCGAGACAGAAGAAAGCUGCUUGGUAUUCUCUGUUUUGGCAACUCGAGUAUCUACUUGACUAUCCCACCAAUGAAGUGCUACAGGAUUGAGUCUAUUCAUGCCUACAAUAUUUCAUGAUGACUUGACGGGGUAAACUUCCAUGCCGAUUGAAGAACUAAGACCCUAUUCAGGCAAGUUUCCCUGCGGUUUGUAAUCGGCUUCUAUCUUUUGAUUCACCAUAAAACCUCAAUCUGAUCUAUAAGAUAUCAUCAAACUGUUCAUAAAAUUUCUCUCGGAUACGUGCAGCCAAUCUCCAUCACCAACGCCGUCUUUGAGCUGUGGUUUCUGAUGUCCGAAUCUGCCUAGAUUUUCAUCUGUCUCGCGAGGAGCCUAGUAGUCGACUCGACACGCCAAUUUUCAAACCCGCUGGUCAGAAUUCAGCCCUAGAUGCGUACUUUCUAGCAUAAUUUAUGGGAUCUAUGAGCUAGCCACACCACUUGCAUCUUGAACAGUUGUUCAACAUUUUGUUUUUGUUGUUUUGUCUAGCUUGUGUAAACCAUCCAAGUUACUUUAAUUUUCCACGUUAGAAUUUACAUGAGUUGACAAAACAGAAAACAAAAUUAUGAACAACUUAGAUGCAAUUGGUGUGGCUAGCUCAUAGAUCGGAAUCAAGAUCCAUAAAUUAGGCUACAGAGUCAGACUUCUAGGCUCCUCGCAAGACGGAUGAAAAUCUGGGCAGAUUCAGACAUCAGAAACAACUUGAAAAUGAUGUUGGUGACGGAGAUUGGCUGCACCAAUUGGAGAGGAGUUUUAGGGAGAGUUUGAUGAUAUCAUGUAGAUCAUAUUAAAUUAAAGAGGUUUUAUGGUGCAACAAAUCACUAAACUAAAAGAUAUAAGUCAAUUACAAGCGAAGGUUUGUGAUCACAGGGAAACUUUAACAAGGUCUCAGUGCUUUGAUCGGCACGGAAGUGUGCACCGUUGGAUCAUUGUGAAAUUUUGCUGGCGUGAAUAAGACUAUCCCGCAACACUUUACCGGUGAAAUCAUCGAGUAGAUGCUCGAGUCGCCGAAAACAGAGAGAAUAUUGAGCAGUUUUCUGCCGUCUCGCGAAACUCGCGGGAUUAAUGUUGGCAGUGACUUUGGACGGCUCGGGAGAUAUAGUUUCAUGGUUUUAGUGUCUUGGGUGUAGGAGGGGUAUAUGUAGGCGUCUUCGUUGGUUAGGGUUGCCCUAGGUUGGAUAGGAUUGGAUACGGGGUAGGUUUCCUCCUUGUACUCAAAUCCAACACGGUGGAGUCCGAAUUUGAAAUGACUGGGUUUGGUUUAGCUCACCCAAGAGAAGCUUCCGGAGCUAAGGAGACGUCUUGGAACAGGGGUAAGGAGGUUUGGGCUGGUUUGAGGCGUUGGUUUCUUGUUCGAGUUCGAUUCGGAGUAGGUUUGGAUCAUGGGAUUAGAUGAAAUUUGAUAAGUGGGCUGUAUUGUGACUAGAAGAUGGACAUGAGCCGGUCAAAUAUAGCGCAAGUACUAGUGCACUCUCACUUGACAUGACUCAGUGUAAAGAAAAUACAGUAGAUAAAAUAAAUUGCCCAAUCAUUUUAUUUUAUUCUAGGCGAAAAUAUUUCCUACCUUUAAACAGUAACAACUACUUUGCUAGAGUUGAAAUGUGGUAUGUUAUGUUACAUAACAGGUUCAAGGCUUCAAAGCUGAUGCUGGAGAUACGUGGUACAAGACUUCUGACCACGGAAACUAAUUAGCCAAUAGUGUAGGUGUAAGAACAAUACGUCUUCCUGGUACAGUUCGUGAAGGUCACUAGUAGCGAUAACGAGUCGAAGAACUUAACUUGAUAUAUCCCUUUUGUAAUGAAAAAAAUGUCAACAAUCUUCCAAUGUUAUGUUGGUCUAUUUAUAUAAAAACAUCUGAAUUCUAUCA
Molecule: long non-coding RNA, 2457 nt
Organism: Aegilops tauschii subsp. strangulata
Lineage: Eukaryota; Viridiplantae; Streptophyta; Magnoliopsida; Poales; Poaceae
Source: RefSeq, a predicted model, not a curated record